AUGCAUAGGAAUCUGCCCGGUAGUGGGGGAUAACCUGGGGAAACCCAGGCUAAUACCGCAUACGUCCUACGGGAGAAAGGGGGCUCCGGCUCCCGCUAUUGGAUGAGCCUAUGUCGGAUUAGCUGGUUGGUGAGGUAAUGGCUCACCAAGGCAACGAUCCGUAGCUGGUCUGAGAGGAUGAUCAGCCACAUCGGGACUGAGACACGGCCCGAACUCCUACGGGAGGCAGCAGUGGGGAAUAUUGGACAAUGGGGGCAACCCUGAUCCAGCCAUGCCGCGUGUGUGAAGAAGGCCCUCGGGUUGUAAAGCACUUUCAGCGAGGAAGAACGCCUGGCGGUUAAUACCCGCCAGGAAAGACAUCACUCGCAGAAGAAGCACCGGCUAACUCCGUGCCAGCAGCCGCGGUAAUACGGAGGGUGCAAGCGUUAAUCGGAAUUACUGGGCGUAAAGCGCGCGUAGGUGGCUUGAUAAGCCGGUUGUGAAAGCCCCGGGCUCAACCUGGGAACGGCAUCCGGAACUGUCAGGCUAGAGUGCAGGAGAGGAAGGUAGAAUUCCCGGUGUAGCGGUGAAAUGCGUAGAGAUCGGGAGGAAUACCAGUGGCGAAGGCGGCCUUCUGGACUGACACUGACACUGAGGUGCGAAAGCGUGGGUAGCAAACAGGAUUAGAUACCCUGGUAGUCCACGCCGUAAACGAUGUCGACCAGCCGUUGGGUGCCUAGCGCACUUUGUGGCGAAGUUAACGCGAUAAGUCGACCGCCUGGGGAGUACGGCCGCAAGGUUAAAACUCAAAUGAAUUGACGGGGGCCCGCACAAGCGGUGGAGCAUGUGGUUUAAUUCGAUGCAACGCGAAGAACCUUACCUACCCUUGACAUCCUGCGAACCCGGAAGAGAUUCCGGGGUGCCUUCGGGAACGCAGAGACAGGUGCUGCAUGGCUGUCGUCAGCUCGUGUUGUGAAAUGUUGGGUUAAGUCCCGUAACGAGCGCAACCCUUGUCCUUAUUUGCCAGCGAGUAAUGUCGGGAACUCUAAGGAGACUGCCGGUGACAAACCGGAGGAAGGUGGGGACGACGUCAAGUCAUCAUGGCCCUUACGGGUAGGGCUACACACGUGCUACAAUGGCCGGUACAAAGGGCUGCGAGCUCGCGAGAGUCAGCGAAUCCCUUAAAGCCGGUCUCAGUCCGGAUCGGAGUCUGCAACUCGACUCCGUGAAGUCGGAAUCGCUAGUAAUCGUGAAUCAGAAUGUCACGGUGAAUAC
RNAcentral lists this ribosomal RNA (1254 nucleotides) under Vreelandella sulfidaeris. Its description in RNAcentral is "bacterial SSU rRNA". It matches the Rfam family "Bacterial small subunit ribosomal RNA", at positions 113 to 1369 of the family's 1533-position model. The record is from RNAcentral. Lineage: Bacteria; Pseudomonadati; Pseudomonadota; Gammaproteobacteria; Oceanospirillales; Halomonadaceae.